ACAUGAGGACCAACACCCUGCUGCUCAUAACAGCGCGAGUGUCUGUAAGGGUGAAGGUGUUCACCACUCUACAAAAAGAAAAGAUUCAAACCGACAGAGAGGAGACUCUGAAAGCAAAAGGAUUUCAGCUAUCCUCAAGCCUCCUGCCUUUUGUCGAAGAAAAAACAAAGCAGCAUGGGAAAAGGUAUGGGCGAAGAGUGGGAUGAGAAGCCAAGGGAAACUCAGCCUCGGAAACACGAAGAGACGGAGAGAAGAAGCUCGGGGAGCAAAUGUCCCAAGUGCUGCUUGAAGACCAGGGACUGUCUGAUGAGCCCAGAGUGCAGCAGGGCACUUCAGAUCUCCAGCGUUGUCGCCAUGUGUGGAAUGUGCCUCCGCUUUUUCGUAUAACCCAACCGUGGACAUCAAGACCAGCUUAUUCAUGUCGUGUUCUCAGCAUCUUGCAGCACCUUUCAUGACACCAGUGCCAUUUGAUUUUCUUCUGAUCUAAGAUGGAGAAUAAGCACUUUAAAGCUACAGUGGGUAACUUUGAGGAAAAUAACUUUUUGUCAUGUUUGCUGAAACUGUCACUAUAUUCUUAAAUAAGUACAUGAGACAAAUAAUCUCUGAAAAUAAUAUGUCCCUCCUCCACUUCCUGCUUCUGAUUACAUUUGCUAGAAUUUACCGAAAACAACCAAUCAGAGCUGAGGACUAAUUGUUUAAAUUGUCAAACGUGGCAGAGCUGAUCAAGUAUGAAUCAAAAUUCUGUUGCUGCAUUGCCUUUUGCUUGACUCAAAUGUUUUCAGAGACAUAUUUUAGUGUACUGUUUAGCUGUAAAAUGAGAAAGUUUAUUCCGGCUGGUGUUUUGUUUCAGCUCAACUGUUUCCAACAUGGCGGCCAAGUCACAAAGUUUCUCAUUUACAUUUGAGGCAAGAAAUAGGUAAUAGAGUAACAGAAUCUUGAUUCACAUCUGAUCAGUGCUGCCUAAUUUGACUCGAGCAGUGAUAGACCGCUACAUUACAGAUCUGGUUCAAACCCCCAGUUGCGGUUGCCAAAGAUUAACUGGGGGUCAUGAGGCCUUCGUGAUUUUAAGGGUAUGUUCAAGGGUGUCAUUUUUGUGAAGAAAACUUCAUGAAAUUGUUAUUUUUGAAGUUUAGAUUAUUAUUCAGGACAUAAAUUUACAAAACAUCUCACAGGACAAGGGCACGGUGACGACCUCAACACAGGCUGUAUUCACAGAGCCUGCACUCUCUGUUUAACAGCCUCGUCCUGCAUAAGAUGAGUACGCAGUUUAACAAACAAAGAGCUAAUGGAACAAUGGCCAUGCAUCAGAGAGGAGAAACCCUUGAAUAUAUUAAAAAAAAAGGAAAAAAAAAAAAAAGAAGAAGCCUAAAAAAAGUCAUCUCAAAUCUCAAAACUCACACACAACACAAAGGACCCUGAAGGAAAAGGUUGGGAGCUAACCUUAAUGCCAUUAUAUGCACUAUAAGGCAAUAAAGUAGGCAGUGGAAUAUGACAUUUUUACAGAUUAUCUGUCUCAUUCAGUGAUGUGUGAAUAAAGUGACAGUUUCAGCAAAUAUGAUAAAAACUUAGCUACCAACUAAAGCUUUAAGUCCACUUUAUCUGCUAAAGUCCUGUUUAAUUCUCAAGCUAUUUAUUUAACAUUCUCUCUGUAUAUAGAACAAACUAAAAGAUAAUCAUUGUGAAUUAAGGAAUGGAUGGAUGUGAUUAAAAUGCUACAGUAUUAAGAAAA
This is a long non-coding RNA of Epinephelus lanceolatus (giant grouper), 1729 nucleotides long. RefSeq lists it as uncharacterized. Lineage: Eukaryota; Metazoa; Chordata; Actinopteri; Perciformes; Serranidae. The record is from RefSeq and is a predicted model, not a curated record.